AAAAUUACACUCUUUUGAUUUAUUUGAACAAUGGCAGUCUUAUUUUGUCUAAUGAGUUCAUGCUAAUUCACAGGUGUAGAUUUUUUAAAAAUCACACUGAUGAAGAGUGAACAUUUGCAAGGGAACUAGUGACGUGUUGCCCUCCAAAAAGCGGGAGAGUGAAGUGGAAGCAUCACUCAAGGCAGACAAAGAAGGCACUGCAUGCUCGCUUGCAGCUGCUGCAGCUCUCUGCGGCGCUCUUCAAGUUGGAUCUGAUGGAUUCAAACGUGAACAUCGCAAGCCUCUUUGGUGUGCAUCUCCUCGGAGGCGGACGACGCCACUUUCUGGAUGAUGGGGGCGAUGUUGGUGGGUCCGUACAGCUGAAUCUUGGGAAGGCAAUUCUGGUAGGCCUCGACUACGCCUUGGAUCCCUGCAAAUACAUCAC
Nerophis lumbriciformis (worm pipefish) is the source of this 424-nucleotide long non-coding RNA. RefSeq lists it as uncharacterized. Lineage: Eukaryota; Metazoa; Chordata; Actinopteri; Syngnathiformes; Syngnathidae. The record is from RefSeq and is a predicted model, not a curated record.